UGGGGAAUUUUGGACAAUGGGCGAAAGCCUGAUCCAGCAAUGCCGCGUGUGUGAAGAAGGCCUUCGGGUUGUAAAGCACUUUUGUCCGGAAAGAAAUCCUUGGCUCUAAUACAGUCGGGGGAUGACGGUACCGGAAGAAUAAGCACCGGCUAACUACGUGCCAGCGGCCGCGGUAAUACGUAGGGUGCAAGCGUUAAUCGGAAUUACUGGGCGUAAAGCGUGCGCAGGCGGUUUGCUAAGACCGAUGUGAAAUCCCCGGGCUCAACCUGGGAACUGCAUUGGUGACUGGGCAGGCUAGAGUAUGGCAGAGGGGGGUAGAAUUCCACGUGUAGCAGUGAAAUGCGUAGAGAUGUGGAGGAAUACCGAUGGCGAAGGCAGCCCCCUGGGCCAAUACUGACGCUCAUGCACGAAAGCGUGGGGAGCAAACAGGAUUAGAUACCCUGGUAGUCCACGCCCUAAACGAUGUCAACUAGUUGUUGGGGAUUCAUUUCCUUAGUAACGUAGCUAACGCGUGAAGUUGACCGCCUGGGGGAGUACGGUCGCAAGAUUAAAACUUAAAUGAAUUGACGGGGUCAUAGCUGUUUCCU
This 587-nucleotide ribosomal RNA is filed under the name uncultured bacterium. RNAcentral's name for it is "partial 16S ribosomal RNA". It matches the Rfam family "Bacterial small subunit ribosomal RNA", at positions 355 to 1375 of the family's 1533-position model. The record is from RNAcentral.